GUGAAUCAUCGAAUUUUUGAACGCAUAUUGCACUCUCUGGUAUUCCGGGGAGUAUGCCUAUUUGAGGAUCAUUUAAAAUAAUAUAGAUUUUUCUAGAUUUUCUUGGAAUCAAAGAUGGGACGGGCCGUCAUUCGUGUGGUUGUCGCCUAAAAUGCAAGACAAGCUCGUGUCUUGGAUUGCGUGAUACGUUCGGUUACCUCGUGACUUCACAAGGAAUCUUUGAGCGGGUUAGGAAUUGUGCACGAGGUAAACUUUCAUUUAUCUCGAGCUCAAUAUUAAAUUGAAUCAUGACCUCAAAUUA
This 301-nucleotide unclassified non-coding RNA is filed under the name Ambisporaceae sp. RNAcentral describes it as "partial contains 5.8S ribosomal RNA and internal transcribed spacer 2". The stretch from base 1 to 71 matches the Rfam family "5.8S ribosomal RNA", at positions 84 to 154 of the family's 154-position model. The record is from RNAcentral. Lineage: Eukaryota; Fungi; Glomeromycota; Glomeromycetes; Archaeosporales; Ambisporaceae.